GAUCAUGCUCAGGAUGAACGCUAGCUACAGGCUUAACACAUGCAAGUCGAGGGGCAGCAUGGUCUUAGCUUGCUAAGGCCGAUGGCGACCGGCGCACGGGUGAGUAACACGUAUCCAACCUGCCGUCUACUCUUGGGCAGCCUUCUGAAAGGAAGAUUAAUACAAGAUGGCAUCAUGAGUCCGCAUGUUCACAUGAUUAAAGGUAUUCCGGUAGACGAUGGGGA
Molecule: ribosomal RNA, 224 nt
Filed under: uncultured bacterium
Lineage: Bacteria
Description: partial 16S ribosomal RNA
Rfam family: Bacterial small subunit ribosomal RNA
Source: RNAcentral